CAUGGCUUAGGAUGAAGGCGGCGGCGUGCUUAACACCUGCAAGUCGAACGGAAAGGCCUUGUGCUUGCACAAGGUACUCGAGUGGCGAACGGGUGAGUAACACGUGGGUGAUCUGCCCUGCACUGUGGGAUAAGCCUGGGAAACUGGGUCUAAUACCAUAUAGGACCGCAUCUUGGAUGGUGUGGUGGAAAGCUUUUGCGGUGUGGGAUGAGCCUGCGGCCUAUCAGCUUGUUGGUGGGGUAAUGGCCUACCAAGGCGGCGACGGGUAUCCGGCCUGAGAGGGUGUACGGACACAUUGGGAAUGAGAUACGGCCCAGACUCCUACGGGAGGCAGCAGUGGGGAAUAUUGCACAAUGGGCGCAAGCCUGAUGCAGCGAUCGCCGCGUGGGGGAUGAAGGC
RNAcentral lists this ribosomal RNA (399 nucleotides) under bacterium Urfbp16. Its description in RNAcentral is "bacterial SSU rRNA". It matches the Rfam family "Bacterial small subunit ribosomal RNA", at positions 18 to 415 of the family's 1533-position model. The record is from RNAcentral.